This 1170-nucleotide long non-coding RNA is filed under the name Pan troglodytes (chimpanzee). RNAcentral's name for it is "lincRNA". Lineage: Eukaryota; Metazoa; Chordata; Mammalia; Primates; Hominidae. The record is from RNAcentral.
AGAGCACUCUUCUGUCUGUAGAUGCCUCAGCUGCUCUACAAGGGAGUCCCAUUUCAGGUGUGGGGCUGGGUAUGGUCAUUCCUGCUGGAUGUCUAGAAGGUGAAAAACAAGGACCUAGGAAAAUACCAGAUACAGCAUUUCCACCGUCAUCCAGAGCAGGACAAACACGCCAGGUGGUGUCAGGAGCCUAGGUCUCCAGCUGGAGGGAACGUCAACCCUGCAGUGGGAGCCCAUCAUGCAUCCUAGGCACAGAUGCUAAUGUAGGCACCGCAGGUAAGCUGGGCUUGGUACCCCUCCCUGGCUUCAGAAAGAAGCCAAACAAGGAGCUUUCUGCAGAAUGAAACCUCUUUUCCAUCCAGAAGCACUGCUGACUGUUUGGUGGUUGCCGUUAGGGCAGUGAGCCUUUUGUCCAUUCUGAGAUUGGGCUGGUUUCUCCUCUUGGCCCUGCCCUACAGACCAUAAAGGAAAACAGCAAGAGGUCCCCAGCAAACAUCUACAGAUGGCCCUGGACAUCAGCCACAUUCGGAGAAACAUGUCAUGUUCUGGGAGGGCUAAGGCAUCGAGUAAGGCCUAUGGGGCUGGAGGAUCCCAGGGCAGGUGGGGCAAUCCAGAGCUGUGGGGGCUUCUGUGGGAAUUGGGAGGUCCCAAGGCAGAGGUAGGGGUUCCACAGGAGGAGUCACAGAGCCACCAAGGGUUCUCUUGGCCCAGGGAGCAGUGGGGCCUCAUCUGUCCUAUUCCUCCUGUGGCCUGGGUCCUAGCACCAUGUCUGGUACAGUGUAGGUGCUCAAGGGAAGUUUACUUUAUAGAACUGUCUACCUAGGAGAUGUUGCUGUUAGUCUAACCUGUACCAUUUUGUAAACCUGCAGCCAUUUUGCACACCCUGGUCAGAAUGAAACAUUCCUUGGGAACUUGGGCCAUGAGAAGCAUCCUUCCUGAUCACCUGACUGUAGAAACAUCCUUAUCGCACCCUCCCGGGCAAAGGCCCAACAGCCUGACUGCAGGAACAUCCUUGCCAUAUCCUGCUGGGCAGCAAGCUCUACCGCCCAGACCCCUCCUUCCCAGUCCCAUGAUCACCCCAGCCUGUGAGAGGCAGUUGGUGCUGGCAGUAAGCUGGUUUCCUCCUCUGCAGGGUUUUGCUAGUAAUAAAGGUGUUGCUGUUGAAGCCGCCAA